This 253-nucleotide ribosomal RNA is filed under the name uncultured bacterium. RNAcentral's name for it is "partial 16S ribosomal RNA". It matches the Rfam family "Bacterial small subunit ribosomal RNA", at positions 524 to 776 of the family's 1533-position model. The record is from RNAcentral.
UACGUAGGGUGCAAGCGUUGCCCGGAUUUAUUGGGCGUAAAGGGCGCGUAGGCGGCCACGCACGUCCGUUGUGAAAUCGCCCGGCUCAACUGGGCGGGGUCAGCGGAUACGGUGUGGCUAGAGCAAGCUAGGGGGCAAUGGAAUUCCCGGUGUAGUGGUGGAAUGCGUAGAUAUCGGGAGGAACACCAGUGGCGAAGGCGGUUGCCUGGAGCUUUGCUGACGCUGAUGCGCGAAAGCGUGGGGAGCGAUCCGG